Molecule: RNA transcript, 2829 nt
Organism: Ruditapes philippinarum (Manila clam)
Lineage: Eukaryota; Metazoa; Mollusca; Bivalvia; Venerida; Veneridae
Exons: 5
Source: RefSeq, a predicted model, not a curated record
GCAAACAUGCAUAUAUGGGACCCAUAUGGGCUAUAUCUAGGCAAGCCCAUAUGGGUAUGCCCAUAUUGGACCUAUAUGGGACCAAUAUGGGCAAGUCCAUUUGGGUACGCCCAUAUUGGACCCAUAUGGGUCCCAUAUUACAGCACUAUAAGAAAAAACGAUUUUUCGUUUAUUUAUGUCUUUAGAACUUGUUUACUUUGAGCUAUAGUGUGACCACCUUGGCAUAAAUUGCUAUUAUCUUUUAUAAAAAUCGUAGCAUUAACAUAUAUACAAGCCAUGAGGGACCCAUAUGGGUCCCAUUCGGGCAACCCAAUAAAUAUUAGCAUGCCUGAGCAGGUGCGAGAAAUUAAUUUGUUUAGUUUUUAUAUUGGUUUUAAUUUUUAUAAUCUAAAUAUAAAAAUGUGUUUUUUAGACUAUUAAUUCAGAAAUAAUUUAUAAAAAUCAGCAUUUGAUGAAAAAUUUAUUUCGAGCAUGCGCAGACGUGAUUUCCGCUGCCGCUUAAAAUCAAAUUGUGUAUUGAAACGUUAAAUUGUAAAAUUGUACACGAAAACAAUAUUUCAUUUCAAUUCGGAACAUUUAACGACGAUUUCGUAUAACGACCUUUCAUAUUAUAUCCUUACAGAUUUAUUGUGUGUGUAGGCCAUCAAAAAGGCUGUAUGAAUCGGAUAGUGGCACUGAUGAGAAUGAGACAGACACAGAGAGUAGGCCACCACAAGUUAUUGACCAAGCAACAACGCUCAAAGAGUCACAAAGCCUACUUUCAUCUCCGCCUCGCUUAUCUGCACAGGCAUUGCGAGAGGCCAGCAGUGAUGUGCAAAGUGCUUCUCCAAUACAAGGUGCUUCUGAUACACCCUUCCGUGGGCAGAUUAUUGGGCCCACUGCUGUUACACAGAUUCUCCGAGUCUUUGAGACAAUGCGAGAGAAGAAUCAUGAAAUUAAGAGGAUGGUGCAGCGAAUGCUGUUAAGGUCAGCAGCAGAUGACCAACCGCUGCAACUUCCGAAAGAUAUCUCAUUCCCUAUUCGUUAUCCUGAGCAGAUGGAAGCAUUUGAUAAGCUUCUGGGAGAUCAGACAAUACUCUCAUCUGUGGUGCGGUUCCUCUCAAUGUUUGGUAUGGCAGAUGUACGGGAAACUGUUGACCGCUUGAUGAAAGAAACCAUGUCAAAUGAACUGGCAAGAAUGUACAAUAUGAAGUGGGCUGAAGGGGAAGGAAAAGUUUGUGGGCCUCUAGAUACUGAAUGUAUUGUAUAAAUGUGUCCAAAGGAACUUGCCGACAAAGGCUGCAACGAGGAAGGAUGUUGAAAUAGAGGUUUCAAAGUGGCUGGCUGGCGCGCGGGACCGCGAUGGGGGAAGAAAAGCAAGAAACAAAGUGUCAGAGACCUUACCUGAAGAAAAUGAAGGAAGUGACUAGACAUGUUUUUAAUCUAAAAAUGCAAAUUUAUAGAGGAUAUUUGUUUGUUUGUGUGUAAGAUGAAAUUUUAUAUCAUCAAGAGAGCUUUAAAAACAGUAUUCUCAUGAGUGGCUAUGCGCUUGUGAGAACACUGUUUUUUAAAGUUCCUUCAAUGAUAUAAAAUUACAUCUUACACAACAAACAAUAAAGUGUCUUUUUAUUUUAUGCUAAUGAAAUUUCCUCAAUAUUAACGUUAAUAUUAAAUCUGUUUUCCCCACUGUUAACAUCAAUUUUAGUUAAAUUUAAGUCCCAUUUCUCAUAAAUACAGGAAGUCUUGGGUUGAAAAAUAAGUUUGACAAUCAACGUUGAAUAGCCAUGAUAUUAUUUAUUGAAUUCAAAAAAUUUGAUAGAUGAUAAAAUCUUUAAAAAGUAGUCUCGUCAUAGAAAAGUUUGAAAUUUUAAUCAUUUUACUGUGAAAUUAUCAAAUAUAUUUUUCACGGAUACAUCAGUAAUACACUCAAAAGCAUAAAAUAAAUGACUUUUAUUUUACAUUUUCAAACCUUUACUUCAUCUGCAUAUAAGUUAUUCCACUGAUUGAAAGUCAAUAUGUAUCAAGGUAUUUUUAAAAUGGGAUAAGGGUCAGAACUACAGUAAGCGGCUCAUUUGUUUAUCUCAUAUGUUUGACAAUCAACGUUGAAUAGCCAUGAUAUUAUUUAUUGAAUUCAAAAAAUUUGAAUGAUGAUAAAAUCUUUAAAAAGUAGUCUCGUCAUAGAAAAGUUUGAAAUUUUAAUCAUUUUACUGUGAAAUUAUCAAAUAUAUUUUUCACGGAUACAUCAGUAAUACACUCAAAAGCAUAAAAUAAAUGACUUUUAUUUUACAUUUUCAAACCUUUACUUCAUCUGCAUAUAAGUUAUUCCACUGAUUGAAAGUCAAUAUGUAUCAAGGUAUUUUUAAAAUGUGAUAAGGGUCAGAACUACAGUAAGCGGCUCAUUUGUUUAUCUUGUUAUACUUUUUGUUGCUAAUUUUAAUGUUUGAGGUCAUCAGCAUAGCAUGUCUUUCUUGUAAAUGCAAAAUUCUUGUCUAGUCAAAUUUUGCCUUCUAGUCAGUAUAUUCUGCUGCUAUUUUAUGUUUGUUGUUGACAUUAUAUGCUGUUUUUCUGUUGUCUAUAUGCUGUUGUUUUUUUUCCAUUAAACAUUGUUACUGCACGGAGGAAGGUAGUCUAGUACUGGUGUAACUCUCCAGAAACGAUGGUUAGGAAACUACCCGCCUAUAUGACGUAAAAGGCGUAAAAUGAAACAAACAAACAAAAAACAUUGUUACUAUUUAAAUCAAGACAUUAAAUGCUUGGGGAAUGUUUUUGAUACUGAUCAAUACAAUUAUAACAUCUUGUCAAAACUUGACACUAACAGGGAACACAUGUAUUGAUAUAUGGUAUUAACCU